UACGUAGGGACCAAGCGUUGUUCGGAUUUACUGGGCGUAAAGGGCGUGUAGGCGGGAAGGAAAGUCAGAUGUGAAAGCCCUGGGCUCAACCCAGGAACUGCAUUUGAAACUCCCUUUCUUGAGUGUCGGAGAGGAAAGCGGAAUUCCUGGUGUAGAGGUGAAAUGCGCAGAUAUCAGGAGGAACACCUAUUGCGAAGGCAGCUCGCUGGGACGUUACUGACGCUGAGACGCGAAAGCGUGGGGAGCAAACAGG
RNAcentral lists this ribosomal RNA (253 nucleotides) under uncultured bacterium. RNAcentral's name for it is "partial 16S ribosomal RNA". It matches the Rfam family "Bacterial small subunit ribosomal RNA", at positions 524 to 776 of the family's 1533-position model. The record is from RNAcentral.